UACGAAGGGGGCUAGCGUUGCUCGGAAUCACUGGGCGUAAAGGGUGCGUAGGCGGGUCUUUAAGUCAGGGGUGAAAUCCUGGAGCUCAACUCCAGAACUGCCUUUGAUACUGAGGAUCUUGAGUUCGGGAGAGGUGAGUGGAACUGCGAGUGUAGAGGUGAAAUUCGUAGAUAUUCGCAAGAACACCAGUGGCGAAGGCGGCUCACUGGCCCGAUAUUGACGCUGAGGAGCGAAAGCGUGGGGAGCGAACAGG
RNAcentral lists this ribosomal RNA (253 nucleotides) under uncultured bacterium. RNAcentral's name for it is "partial 16S ribosomal RNA". It matches the Rfam family "Bacterial small subunit ribosomal RNA", at positions 524 to 776 of the family's 1533-position model. The record is from RNAcentral.